RNAcentral lists this ribosomal RNA (460 nucleotides) under uncultured bacterium. RNAcentral's name for it is "partial 16S ribosomal RNA". It matches the Rfam family "Bacterial small subunit ribosomal RNA", at positions 338 to 795 of the family's 1533-position model. The record is from RNAcentral.
CCUACGGGAGGCAGCAGUGAGGAAUAUUGGUCAAUGGCCGUAAGGCUGAACCAGCCAAGUCGCGUGAAGGAAGAAGGAUCUAUGGUUUGUAAACUUCUUUUAUAGGGGAAUAAAGGUAUCCACGUGUGGAUCUUUGCAUGUACCCUAUGAAUAAGCAUCGGCUAACUCCGUGCCAGCAGCCGCGGUAAUACGGAGGAUGCGCGCGUUAUCCGGAUUUAUUGGGUUUAAAGGGUGCGUAGGUGGUUUUUUAAGUCAGCGGUGAAAGUUUGUGGCUCAACCAUAAAAUUGCCGUUGAAACUGGACGACUUGAGUGGGUUUGAGGUAGGCGGAAUGCGUGGUGUAGCGGUGAAAUGCAUAGAUAUCACGCAGAACUCCGAUUGCGAAGGCAGCUUACUAAGCCAUAACUGACACUGAAGCACGAAAGCGUGGGGAUCAAACAGGAUUAGAUACCCGAGUAGUC